AUACGGGAGGCAGCAGUGGGGAAUAUUGCACAAUGGGGGAAACCCUGAUGCAGCAACGCCGCGUGAAGGAUGAAGGUUUUCGGAUUGUAAACUUCUUUGAUGAGGGACGAAUAAUGACGGUACCUCAAAAACAAGCCACGGCUAACUACGUGCCAGCAGCCGCGGUAAUACGUAGGUGGCAAGCGUUGUCCGGAGUUACUGGGUGUAAAGGGCGUGUAGGCGGGUUAUCAAGUCAGAUGUGAAAUUCCAUGGCUCAACUGUGGCGCUGCAUCUGAAACUGAUGAUCUUGAGUGAUGGAGAGGAAAGCGGAAUUCCUAGUGUAGCGGUGAAAUGCGUAGAUAUUAGGAGGAACACCAGUGGCGAAGGCGGCUUUCUGGACAUUAACUGACGCUGAGGCGCGAAAGCGUGGGGAGCAAACAGGAUUAGAUACCCCGGUAGC
Molecule: ribosomal RNA, 439 nt
Filed under: uncultured bacterium
Lineage: Bacteria
Description: bacterial SSU rRNA
Rfam family: Bacterial small subunit ribosomal RNA
Source: RNAcentral